AGCCCCGCCCCUGCGCGCCGCCUCAGCGGCGCCUUCAAGACGCUGGUCCCAGGCACCCACGCCCAGGGCGCCUCGGAUACCCACCCCCUCGGCCCCCCGCACACCCCGGUCCUCGACCCCUCUCCGCAGGAUGGUGAGGCCCGUGCGGCCCGCUCGCUCUGGCCUACAGCGGCUGCGAGGACGACAAGACGCUGGGGUGGAGGGACUGGGGGUCGGGAGAAGAGCGGCUGAGGGUGGGCAUCUGGAUGAAGGCAGGAGGAAGAAAAGAGGCGUGGCUAUGGGCGGCCAGAAAAGAUCCUAGGCCGAGACCCUAGGCCCAGCCUCAGUGUACCCCGCCCCUAUUCCGCAUCUUUCUGCAGGUUUCCCGGUCCUCUGGCGAGGAUCCUCCAAGGCGUCUCACAUGAACCGGCUCAGAAACGCCAAAAUCUACGUGGAGAGAGCUGUCAAGCAGAAGAAGAUCUUUACAAUCCAAGGCUGCUACCCGGUGAUCCGGUGUCUCUUGCGCCGGAGGGGCUGGGUGGAGAAGAAGAUGGUCCAUCGCUCAGGCCCCACCCUGCUGCCACCCCAGAAGGAUCUGGAUAGCUCAGCGAUGGGUGACAGUGACACCACUGAGGAUGAGGAUGAAGAUGAGGACGAGGAGUUCCAGCCAUCACAGCUGUUCGACUUCGAUGAUUUACUGAAAUUUGAUGACCUAGAUGGAACACAUGCUCUGAUGUCCCGCAUGGUCCAGAAUGAGAUCCCCUACUUCAUCUGGACCACUCGGCGGGAUGUGCUCGACUGUCGCUUCCUCUCCAAGGAUCAGAUGAUAAACCACUACGCCCGGGCUGGCUCCUUUACCACAAAGGUGGGUCUAUGUCUCAAUCUCCGGAAUUUGCCGUGGUUUGAUGAGGUUGAUGCCAACUCCUUCUUCCCACGCUGCUACUGCCUGGGGGCUGAGGAUGACAAAAAAGCCUUCAUAGAGACGGGGUUUCACUGUGUUAGCCAGGAUGGUCUCGAUCUCCUGACCUCAUGAUCCAUCCACCUCAGCCUCCCAAAGUGCUGGGAUUACAGGCGUCAGCCACCGUGACCAGCCUGAAACAGGAGCAAGUUCUAAACUCAGGCUCUAGAGUCAGAAAAGGUAGAGUCAGGUUCUGGAUCCAAAAUGGGGCAAGUCAUGAUCAGGUUCUGGAACCAGAACAGGCCUCAAGCCUAGGGGCUGAGCAGGGUAUCCCCUGGCCUGGGAGCAGAGGACUUCUGGCUGACUGCUGCCCGCAACGUUCUCAAGCUGGUGGUGAAGUCUGAGUGGAAGUCAUACCCUAUUCAGGCAGUAGAGGAAGAGGCCUCAGGAGACAAGCAGCCCAAGAAACAGGAGAAAAACCCAGUGUUGGUGUCCCCAGAGUUUGUGGAUGAAGCUCUGUGUGCGUGCGAGGAGUACCUUAGCAACUUGGCCCACAUGGACAUCGACAAGGACCUGGAGGCCCCGCUGUACCUCACCCCCGAGGGCUGGUCCCUCUUCCUCCAGCGCUACUACCAAGUGGUCCACGAAGGGGCAGAACUCAGGCACCUCGACACUCAGGUCCAGCGCUGUGAGGACAUCCUGCAGCAGCUGCAGGCCGUGGUACCCCAGAUAGACAUGGAAGGGGAUCGCAACAUCUGGAUCGUGAAGCCAGGAGCCAAGUCCCGCGGACGAGGCAUCAUGUGCAUGGACCACCUGGAGGAGAUGCUGAAGCUGGUGAACGGCAACCCCGUGGUGAUGAAGGACGGCAACUCAGUGCACCUGUGCAACAACUCCAUCCAGAAGCACCUGGAGAACUCAUGCCAUCGGCAUCCACUGCUUCCGCCAGACAACAUGUGGUCUAGCCAGAGGUUCCAGGCCCACCUGCAGGAGAUGGGUGCCCCAAAUGCUUGGUCCACCAUCAUCGUGCCUGGCAUGAAGGAUGCUGUGAUCCACGCACUUCAGACCUCCCAGGACACCGUGCAGUGUCGGAAGGCCAGCUUUGAGCUCUAUGGCGCUGACUUCGUGUUCGGGGAGGACUUCCAGCCCUGGCUGAUUGAGAUCAACGCCAGCCCCACGAUGGCACCCUCCACAGCAGUCACUGCCCGGCUCUGUGCUGGCGUGCAAGCUGACACCCUGCGCGUGGUCAUUGACCGGAUGCUGGACCGCAACUGUGACACAGGAGCCUUUGAGCUCAUCUAUAAGCAGCCCGUCACCACUUCCCCAGCCUCCACACCAAGGCCCAGCUGCCUUCUCCCCAUGUACUCCGACACCAGGGCCAGGUCCUCAGACGACAGCACAGCAAGCUGGUGGGCACUAAGGCCCUGUCGACCACAGGCAAGGCCUUGAGGACUCUACCCACGGCUAAGGUCUUCAUUUCCCUCCCACCGAACCUUGAUUUCAAGGUGGCACCCAGCAUCCUGAAGCCAAGAAAGGUGGGCCUCGACCUGUGACUCACACCCAGUGGACAGUGCUGAGCACGGGGUCAGGGCUGGAGGGCACAGGCAGAGGGCAGCUCCCAGGCUGGCUGGCACCCCAAGGGAAGAGCUGGUCUCCCUCAGAAGCCCCUUCCUCCACAGACUUCUGAUCAUCUCCCUCUUCUCCCCUCCUUUCACACCGAGGCUCCUGCUCUCCUGUGCCUCCGAGGCCCCCAGCUGGAAGUGCCUUGUUGCCUCUGCCCUUUGAAGUCGGAACAAUUCCUAGCACCUGUCGGAAGGUCAAGGCCAAAGGCAAAUUCAAGGCCAGACUGUGACAAACCCAGGGCUGAGGCCUGCCCCAUGAAGAGGCUGAGCCCCCUGAAACCCCUGCCCCUUGUUGGUACAUUCCAGAGGCGCAGGGGCCUGGGGGAUAUGAAGCUAGGGAAGCCCCUGCUUCGAUUCCCCACUGCCCUUGUCCUGGAUCCAACACCAAAUAAAAAGAAACAAGUGAAGUAUUUGGGGCUUGACUCCAUUGCUGUUGGAGGGUCAAGAGUGGAUGGGGCGAGGCCGUGUACCCCAGGGUCCACAGCAAGAGCCUGAGGCCAUCAGCAGCUCCUCCGUGCAGCGAGGCCCAGAAUUCCCACCUAAGGACAGACAUGGGGCUUCCUAUUUAGGGACUCCCCCAGCAUCUCCGAUCCAGGGGUGGGGAGCGUGAGCCUUCACUUUACAGAUGAAGAAACUGAGUCUGAAAGAGGAGGCAUGGCUUACCCAAGAUCACGUGGCAGUGAGUCGACGCAGGGACAUAUUGCCAGAACUGCCGAGCACUGGGAGCCCCCCAACCCCAGAGAACAAGCCAAGCUAGCAGAAUGACACCUACCGGGCAUAGGAACGUUAAUGCCAUGAGACAGGGGAAGGAAUUGGCCUUGCCUAAACCUCAGCCCUUCUGCAGAGGGCAUGGGUCUAUCCCUUCUUCAGCAAGGGGCCAAGGUCACCUAAAAAUGAAACAUCCAAUAAGCCACACCCACCUGAAGAAAAGUGUGGCACUGCUUAGUUGUAGUGGGUUGAACUGUGGUCCCCUGAAAAGAGAUGUCUACUUGGACCCUGUGAAUGUGACCUUAUGUGGGAAAAGAGUCUUUGUAGCUGGGUAUGGUGGCUCACACCUGUUAUCCCAGCACUUUGAGAGGCCAAGGCAGGAGAUCGCUUGAGCCCGCAAGUUCAAGACCAGUCUGGGCAACAUGGUGAAACCGUUUCUACAGAAAAUUAGCUGGGUGUGGUGGCACACACCUGUAGUCCUAGCUACUCGGGAGGCCUAGGUGGGAGGAUUACCUGAGCCUGGGAAGAUCAAAACUGUGGUGAGCUGUGAUCACGCCACUGCGCUCUGAGCCUGGGAGACAGAGUGAAACCCUAAAUCAAAAAAAAAAAAAAAGGUCUUUGCAGAUGUAAAUAAAUUUAAGAUCUUAAAUGAGAUAAUCCCAA
RNA transcript from Homo sapiens (human), 3867 nucleotides. It is a transcript of the gene named tubulin tyrosine ligase like 3, with no coding region annotated. The transcript is spliced from 11 exons. Lineage: Eukaryota; Metazoa; Chordata; Mammalia; Primates; Hominidae. The record is from RefSeq and is marked validated.